AAGGUGGUGAGUGGGUCAAAUCACGGCCCUGAAGGGUGUUUGAAACUGAUGAUUGAGAAUAUGCCCGAAAUGGCGAAGAAGUUAUUAGACAAAUGUGUAACUACUAAAGGAUCGAAAGAAACUCGUGGUUAUCAAGUCAUUUAUGAUUUCUUUUGCCUAGAAGAAACAGGUAUGUGUAUGUCUCAAACAUUAAUAAUUCAUAAGUAAAUUAGCCAAUCAGAGAUUACUUUAUUUUGCUCAUAUGAUAAUACUGGAUACGGUGAAAUUUAAUUCAUUCCUUGGACUGGAUCAAAAUUAAAUCACCUCACUUUAAGUUUGUUCGUAUGAGAUGUCAUAUCAAAUCCGAUAAUUCGGACUUUACCACUUUACCAAGAAAGAAAGAAAGAAAGAAAGAAAGAAAGAAAGAAAGAAAGAAAGAAAGAAAGAAAGAAAGAAAGAAAGAAAGAAAGAAAGGAAGGAAGGAAGGAAGGAAGGAAGGAAGGAAGGAA
Non-coding RNA from Paramuricea clavata, 488 nucleotides. The record is from the annotation of a GenBank genome assembly. Lineage: Eukaryota; Metazoa; Cnidaria; Anthozoa; Malacalcyonacea; Plexauridae.